This 144-nucleotide ribosomal RNA is filed under the name Russula sp. RNAcentral describes it as "partial large subunit ribosomal RNA". Lineage: Eukaryota; Fungi; Basidiomycota; Agaricomycetes; Russulales; Russulaceae. The record is from RNAcentral.
AAACGCUUGAAGUCAGUCGCAUCGACCGAGACUCAGCCUUGCCUCGGCUUGGUGUACUUCUCGGCUGAUGGGUCAGCAUCGAUUUCGACCCUUGGAUAAUGGUGGGGGAAAGGUGGCACCUUUACCGGUGUGUUAUAGUCCUCU